RNAcentral lists this ribosomal RNA (501 nucleotides) under uncultured bacterium. RNAcentral describes it as "partial 16S ribosomal RNA". It matches the Rfam family "Bacterial small subunit ribosomal RNA", at positions 29 to 507 of the family's 1533-position model. The record is from RNAcentral.
ACGAACGCUGGCGGCGUGCUUCACACAUGCAAGUCGAACGGUGAAGGGGUCUGCUUUUGUGGGCCCUGGAUGAGUGGCGAACGGGUGAGUAACACGUGAGUAACCUGCCCCCUUCUUCUGGAUAACCGCAUGAAAGUGUGGCUAAUACGGGAUAUUCUGGGUCUGUCGCAUGAUGGGUCUGGGAAAGAUUGCGCCUUUGGGUGUUUUUGGUGGGGGAUGGGCUCGCGGCCUAUCAGCUUGUUGGUGGGGUGAUGGCCUACCAAGGCGGUGACGGGUAGCCGGCCUGAGAGGGUGGACGGUCACACUGGGACUGAGACACGGCCCAGACUCCUACGGGAGGCAGCAGUGGGGAAUAUUGCACAAUGGGCGCAAGCCUGAUGCAGCGACGCCGCGUGAGGGAUGGAGGCCUUCGGGUUGUAAACCUCUUUCGCCAGUGAAGCAGGCCUGCUCCUUGUGGGUGGGUUGACGGUAGCUGGAUAAGAAGCGCCGGCUAACUACGUG